This 509-nucleotide unclassified non-coding RNA is filed under the name Hevea brasiliensis (rubber tree). The record is from RNAcentral. Lineage: Eukaryota; Viridiplantae; Streptophyta; Magnoliopsida; Malpighiales; Euphorbiaceae.
GAAAGUACUAUUUUUUAGUGCUCCUAAUGUAUCUAAUAAUUAGGCUAACAAAACGGUUCAUGCAAGCAGGACAUUAAAUGAAACGGUGCAUUGCACUAAUAAAAACAAGGCGCAACUAGAACUCUCUAAGGAUUGCAGAACCGUGUAAAAACAAUCAUCUAUAAAACAUUUAAUAUGACAAUGAUAACUUUCUAAUUUCCCUUGAAAAAAUAUGUGAAUAUCUAAUUCAAAUCAGACAAAAUUAGCAGCUUUUAGCUGUGAUCAAAUCCUCCAAUUACAAAUGAUUCCCAAAUUCCUUUCUUCAUGGGUACAUAUUCCAACCCCAUGAUAAACAUCCCAAAUGUCUAUACAAAAUAAAAAAUAAGCUCAAUAAUUGAACAUUCAUAGAUUGGAUUUGUUAACAAUCAAAAGAGAACACAUGAAACCCAAAAUAAAAAUUGAAACCUAAGCCAUAGCAAACCUUGAUAUCCAGAUGCAAGUAUAAUACCGGAGCAUCUUCCCCCUGCCGA